AAGCGCGCGUAGGCGGUUUUUUAAGUCUGAUGUGAAAGCCCACGGCUCAACCGUGGAGGGUCAUUGGAAACUGGAAAACUUGAGUGCAGAAGAGGAAAGUGGAAUUCCAUGUGUAGCGGUGAAAUGCGCAGAGAUAUGGAGGAACACCAGUGGCGAAGGCGACUUUCUGGUCUGUAACUGACGCUGAUGUGCGAAAGCGUGGGGAUCAAACAGGAUUAGAUACCCUGGUAGUCCACGCCGUAAACGAUGAGUGCUAAGUGUUAGGGGGUUUCCGCCCCUUAGUGCUGCAGCUAACGCAUUAAGCACUCCGCCUGGGGAGUAC
RNAcentral lists this ribosomal RNA (322 nucleotides) under Escherichia coli. RNAcentral's name for it is "bacterial SSU rRNA". It matches the Rfam family "Bacterial small subunit ribosomal RNA", at positions 563 to 883 of the family's 1533-position model. The record is from RNAcentral. Lineage: Bacteria; Pseudomonadati; Pseudomonadota; Gammaproteobacteria; Enterobacterales; Enterobacteriaceae.